CCUACGGGAGGCAGCAGUGAGGAAUAUUGGUCAAUGGGCGAGAGCCUGAACCAGCCAAGUCGCGUGAAGGAUGAAGGAUCUAUGGUUUGUAAACUUCUUUUAUAUGGGGGUAAGGUGAGUGACGUGUUCCUUUAUGUAUGUACCAUAUGAAUAAGCAUCGGCUAACUCCGUGCCAGAAGCCGCGGUAAUACGGAGGGUGCGAGCGUUAUCCGGAUUUAUUGGGGUUAAAGGGUGCGUAGGUGGUUAAUUAAGUCAGCGGUGAAAGUUUGUGGCUCAACCAUAAAAUUGCAGUUGAUACUGGUUGACUUGAGUAUAUUUGAGGUAGGCGGAAUGCGUGGUGUAGCGGUGAAAUGCAUAGAUAUCACGCAGAACUCCGAUUGCGAAGGCAGCUUACUAAACUAAAACUGACACUGAAGUACGAAAGCGUGGGGAUCAAACAGGAUUAGAUACCCGAGUAGUC
This 460-nucleotide ribosomal RNA is filed under the name uncultured bacterium. RNAcentral describes it as "partial 16S ribosomal RNA". It matches the Rfam family "Bacterial small subunit ribosomal RNA", at positions 338 to 795 of the family's 1533-position model. The record is from RNAcentral.